This 274-nucleotide ribosomal RNA is filed under the name uncultured bacterium. RNAcentral describes it as "partial 16S ribosomal RNA". It matches the Rfam family "Bacterial small subunit ribosomal RNA", at positions 523 to 796 of the family's 1533-position model. The record is from RNAcentral.
AUACGGAGGGUGCAAGCGUUAAUCGGAAUUACUGGGCGUAAAGCGUACGUAGGCGGUUCGUUAAGUUAGAUGUGAAAGCCCCGGGCUUAACCUGGGAACUGCAUUUAAAACUGGCGAACUAGAGUUGAGUAGAGGGGAGUGGAAUUUCAGGUGUAGCGGUGAAAUGCGUAGAGAUCUGAAGGAACACCAGUGGCGAAGGCGACUCCCUGGACUCGAACUGACGCUGAGGGACGAAAGCGUGGGGAGCAAGCAGGAUUAGAUACCCUAGUAGUCC